RNAcentral lists this ribosomal RNA (599 nucleotides) under Diplodia corticola. Its description in RNAcentral is "eukaryotic LSU rRNA". The stretch from base 225 to 378 matches the Rfam family "5.8S ribosomal RNA". Lineage: Eukaryota; Fungi; Ascomycota; Dothideomycetes; Botryosphaeriales; Botryosphaeriaceae. The record is from RNAcentral.
AACAAGGUUUCCGUAGGUGAACCUGCGGAAGGAUCAUUACCGAGUGCUACGAGCGAGAGCUCGUUACCUCCCACCCUUUGUGAACAUACCUCUGUUGCUUUGGCGGCUCUCGCCGCGAGGGGAGGCCCUGAAAAGGGCCCGCCCCCCUCGCGCGCCCUCCGCCAGAGGACCUUCAAACUCCAGUCAGUAAACGUCGACGUCUGAUACACAAGUUAAUAAACUAAAACUUUCAACAACGGAUCUCUUGGUUCUGGCAUCGAUGAAGAACGCAGCGAAAUGCGAUAAGUAAUGUGAAUUGCAGAAUUCAGUGAAUCAUCGAAUCUUUGAACGCACAUUGCGCCCCUUGGCAUUCCGAGGGGCAUGCCUGUUCGAGCGUCAUUACAACCCUCAAGCUCUGCUUGGUAUUGGGCGCCGUCCUCUCUGCGGACGCGCCUCAAAGACCUCGGCGGUGGCUGUCCAGCCCUCAAGCGUAGUAGAAUACACCUCGCUUUGGAGCGGCUGGCGUCGCCCGCCGGACGAACCUUCUGAACUUUUCUCAAGGUUGACCUCGGAUCAGGUAGGGAUACCCGCUGAACUUAAGCAUAUCAAUAAGCGGAGGA